Molecule: small nucleolar RNA, 160 nt
Filed under: Macleaya cordata
Lineage: Eukaryota; Viridiplantae; Streptophyta; Magnoliopsida; Ranunculales; Papaveraceae
Description: Small nucleolar RNA snoR145
Rfam family: Small nucleolar RNA snoR145
Source: Rfam by way of RNAcentral
AGGCGAAGGUCCCAGCAGGGAGGUAUGAACUCUAUUAAUUGAGACCUCUCUAACACUAAAAUAUACCCUUCGCAGAUUGAGAUUUUAGUAUCGGUCGAUUCGUAGGACGCCCCAAAUUUCUUUGAUUUUUGGUGCGUCUUUAAAAUUCGGCUACAUUGAU